Molecule: long non-coding RNA, 405 nt
Filed under: Ananas comosus (pineapple)
Lineage: Eukaryota; Viridiplantae; Streptophyta; Magnoliopsida; Poales; Bromeliaceae
Description: long non-coding RNA (ACOM_LNC010655)
Source: RNAcentral
UUCUUCGGAAACAGGAACCGAAGGCAUUUCUUCAGCUUUUUUCUCUGAUACAUCGGUUACAUCAGCCGAAAUAAUACCUUCGGCAUGUGAAGAAUAGGACCUUUUAGCAAUUGACUUACGCCGCUUUGGAGGCGGCGGGGGAGCAGAUUGAGCGGUUUCAAUCGAUCUUUUUUCUGAAGCUGAGACUGAUGAAGAAACUAGAAUUGACUGUAGAAAAAGAAAAGAAAUAUUGAAAAGAAAGUUAAAAUAAAGGUGAGUACAUUACAGAAGAAGAUGGCUUGACCUCAGAAGCUUCUUCUAUUUCUUCUCUUGAUGGUGAGACAGGAGGAUCAACUGAAACAAGUGGAUGAAUAGUUCUGCAAAAUGCCCGAAGAAGAGAAACGUCGAGAGUACGGUCAGUAAAAU